UAAUGAAGGCAAUUAAAGCAGUGUUUAGCUAAUUAUAAUCUAAAUACAAUUAAGAGACUAUUUAUUUGGGUUCGAGUUAAAAUGAUGAAGGUCUCGCCCAAAUUCUUUGUUCAUGCUAUUUUAGUAAUGAUAGUCAUGUGGUGUGCUGCAACAGGUUACUAAAAUAAAAUUCUUUAAAUUUAUAUGUAUUAUGUAUAUAAUAUUGUUUAAUAAUAGAAAUGUUUUAAAAAAAUCAAAAAAAAAAAUCCAACUUUUCAAUCAGCCAAUUACCAUGUACAAGUGUACAACUAUCUAAAAUCUUUCUUCCUCAAUUCUACACAAUCUAUAUUUCGUGCAUAUCAUUAGCUCAGCUCCAGCACUUGGAAACCAGAAACAACAUUCUAAUAUAUUAGAGACUUUUGGGGGCGAAAACAAGAGAAUUGCAACAAUAGUCUCGUCGCCUUCUAUGGAAAACGAUUUGAUGUGUGCAGCCGUAGGCGCGUAUUGUAACCCUACAUUCGGACCUAGUUGUUGCCCGGGUAGCACAUGCGCAAAUCCUGUACCUCUUACAGGUGGUGUGUGUGUGCAGCAGCAACUGGUAAACCUAUGAUUAAGGUAUAAUCUGCGCGAUUAUAUAUAUGUUCAACUGUUAUAUACGGAAGCUAAAUCAGGCCAAGUUAUUGUAUAAGAAUUGCCAUGAAGGUUGUAAUAUACAGUAAUUGAUGAAUUGUUGUUAUCGUGUGAUUGAAUUGGUUGGUGAAUAAUUAAUGAGUAUAAGUGGAUUUAUGCAAA
Long non-coding RNA from Chenopodium quinoa (quinoa), 771 nucleotides. RefSeq lists it as uncharacterized. The transcript has 2 exons. The record is from RefSeq and is a predicted model, not a curated record. Lineage: Eukaryota; Viridiplantae; Streptophyta; Magnoliopsida; Caryophyllales; Amaranthaceae.